GAUGAACGCUGGCGGCGCGCCUAAUACAUGCAAGUCGAGCGAACAGACGAGGAGCUUGCUCCUCUGACGUUAGCGGCGGACGGGUGAGUAACACGUGGAUAACCUACCUAUAAGACUGGGAUAACUUCGGGAAACCGGAGCUAAUACCGGAUAAUAUGUUGAACCGCAUGGUUCAAUAGUGAAAGACGGUUUUGCUGUCACUUAUAGAUGGAUCCGCGCCGCAUUAGCUAGUUGGUAAGGUAACGGCUUACCAAGGCAACGAUGCGUAGCCGACCUGAGAGGGUGAUCGGCCACACUGGAACUGAGACACGGUCCAGACUCCUACGGGAGGCAGCAGUAGGGAAUCUUCCGCAAUGGGCGAAAGCCUGACGGAGCAACGCCGCGUGAGUGAUGAAGGUCUUCGGAUCGUAAAACUCUGUUAUUAGGGAAGAACAAAUGUGUAAGUAACUAUGCACGUCUUGACGGUACCUAAUCAGAAAGCCACGGCUAACUACGUG
Molecule: ribosomal RNA, 497 nt
Filed under: uncultured bacterium
Lineage: Bacteria
Description: partial 16S ribosomal RNA
Rfam family: Bacterial small subunit ribosomal RNA
Source: RNAcentral